Dendrobium catenatum is the source of this 92-nucleotide small nucleolar RNA. RefSeq annotates it as small nucleolar RNA Z266. NCBI's taxonomy places the organism in Eukaryota, Viridiplantae, Streptophyta, Magnoliopsida, Asparagales, Orchidaceae. The transcript has a single exon. The record is from RefSeq and is a predicted model, not a curated record.
AGCUGGCAAGCAUAAAGAAUCAAGUAGUUGUGUGAGGCCAGUUGUGCUCUUGACUUAACUUUUGAGGCAAAGAAGUUUCUGACUUGCCUAAU